GGAUUAUUACUGGGUUGUUGUUGUUGUUGUUGCAGCAGCAGCAUGGACUACUCAUUAUGAAUAUUUUCAGGCAACAUAAUGUCAUAUAUACAAGGCGUUGCUCAUAACUAAGAAUGCCAUUGGAGUAUAGUCCGACAUCAAUUUGUUGAAAAGACACUGCUUCAAUUAACAUAAAUAAACAUUAAUUUGUGACAAGAAGUAAAAUCUUAGAACCUUUAUAGAUACAGAUCUACAUACAAGCUGACUUGUGAUAAUUGGUCGAUGCAGUUUAUACAAAAUUCUGCGAACGCCAUUGUUGUCAUUGCAUAGUUAGCAGCAGGUAGUUGGCUGUCCAAUCUUUUGUUUUCUGCUUUCAUCUGCACAAUCACUUUCUACAGCAGGCACAUCAAAUGAAAGACACUGAGUGACUAAUUAGGGAUGUCUCUCUUCACUUUGUGUGGUCAUGCACUCGUGCCAUUUUUUGGUCAUUUUUCUGAUAGGAAUAUUUGUAUUAUCUAUCAGAAUAUGGACUUUAUAUGUUGUAUUAUUGGUGCUAAUAAAGUCAAGUGCAAUGCAUUUAUCUCACCUGUCACAUUAAGGGUGUUAAAGCUCUAUUCCAACCACAGUAGAAGAAAGGUUUCUUGUUGAUGUGUAACUAUAUAGUCCACAAGAACUUGAAGAAAAAUCAUAUGCACAGAAUUGCAAGUUAAAGCAUCAUUUUCCGUGCACAUAAAAUCUGAUUGCAAUAAUUUAAAUGUUGAAACACAUGAUGAAAGCAAACAAGAUGUUGAAUCAAUUCCCCAGCAAAAGAAAUCUUGUCCUCAUACUUCAAAACUUCCAAAAGAUUAUCCGAGAUGGAGCCCAGAAAGCAAGAAAGAUCUCAAUUUUCAAGAUUUAAUUAGCACAAGAGGUGAAGGGGAGCCUUGGAGCAACGUAAAGUUGGCUCCGUAUGACAUAUAGGUCACGGGUUCGGGCCGUGGAAGCAGCCACUAAUGCUUGCAUAAGGGUAGACUGUCUACAUAACACCCCUUGGCGCGGUCUUUCCUCGGACCCUGCGUGAAUGCGAAAUGCUUUGUGCACCGGGCUGCCCUUAAUCAGCACAAGAGUUUGAGGUAAUGGAGUCAUCUAAACUCUCUGGAGGCACAGAAGAAUGCAGCAACGAGUCGGCAUGGACAAUGUAUAUCGCUUCACCUAUUCAUCAAUAUAAUCAAGAAGACUACGAUAAUGGUGAUGAAAGAAAUUCGAGGAAGAGAGAUAAGUAUCUUUACAAUGAUAAUGACGAUGAUGACAAUGAAGAUGGCGAGAGUGAUGACUCCUUAGUUUCGGAUGCCUCGUCUGGUCCAGGUCGUCAAGAAAUAUGCACAAGCAUCGAUAGAAGUCAUGGGAAGUUUCAAUUUAAGCAUGCAGAGAAAGAAACAACAAAGCUUUCAAGCAAGGAACGCCGCGGACAGGUGAAGAAGAAACUGUAUGAUACAAAUAUAAAAGCAGUAAAAGAAGAUUCAGGACACAAAGCAAAGAACAGAAUAGAUUAUGCAUGUAGCAGAUCAACAUCUAGGAGAAAAUAUUAGAUUUGAGGGGGACAGUGAGCCACUAUAUCUUUUCUUGUUUAUAACUAUUACAUCAAUGAGGUAAGAAAAAUAAAAUAUUUUUUUCUAACUCAGUUGACAGGAGGGAAUAAGUAUAGGAUCUUUAUAUAUGGUUUCAGGACACAAUAAGUCUGAUUUCUGAAACAAAAAUAGCAGAUACAGCUAAGUUUCCUCUCAAUAAACAAAUAAGAAAAGAGGUAUGACUACUUCCAGUUACAAAUACAAGUCAAAGAGUUCAAAUCACAUUAGGAUGAGCAACUGCAAAAGUCUAUACAGUCCUGCUAGAAUGUUACUACUUAGUACGACAAUUUGAAAAUUGAAAUGUUUUAAAUUAGCAUCCAAACAUUUGCAUUCAGGCUCCGCGGACCAUCUAUUGAUUGGAAAUUCACAGGGCGACGUCAGGAGAGCCAUAGCAAGGUACAAUGAUUACAAGAGCGGAAUAUUAAGAUAUCUAUUACAAAAAAUAGAAAACUAAUUCAUGCUUGAAGUACAAGAUCUUGGAUAUGUCCAAUCAAUAGAGUCAGUGUCAUGGUAGAUAAUGACAUGAUAUGGAUAUUAAGUUAUCUAUAACAACAACUAGCAAAUUAGUUUAUGCUUAAGAGCCACUCUUCAGAACUCACCUGAAGAAAGUAUGAGUCAGAAGAAACUGAUAAAUAGAUGAUUUUCUAAAUUUAGAUUCCAAGGAAAAACCAAUAAGAAAUGUGAAAGCUCCACAAUAGUUGAACCAAAGUCAGGAUCAUGAAUCACAAACUUAGUAGGGACAACUGCUCAAAAUCUGGUACUGAGCAGAUUUAAACUCUCUGGAUUCAACCUUUAAAGUUAUUAGCAUUGAACCCGUUGCAUUUUUAAAAUUAUAGGUUCAUAUCGACUAUUUGUUACAGUUUUAAUGAAAUUUUAUACAUAAAUUUAUGUUCCGCACCAAAAGUAUGGGUUCAAAUGAACCCGGCAGCAAUAUGCUGCGUCCACCUAGCCUUUUUCAUUUGGUCUCCCAAUAAACAAAAAAGGAUUUCUGGUGACACGAAAGCCAUGCUCAACGCUCUCUUUCCUAUUCCACUGCGCUAAGUGGUCUUUCCUUUUCUUGUUGGAUGACUACUAUGUAAAAAGAUGACGACUACUCCCAGUCUUUGGUCAAUCUGGCUUUCCGCAGAAUUCUAUAUGUAUCUAUGAGAUCAAGUAUGGAAUUCUGCUUACUCACAUUAAAGUGAGUAUCCGUUUCCCUCCCUUUCCUGCUACUAAUGAGAAUUUCAAACACCAAAAAAUUUCGCGGUUCAAUGUUGAACGUGUGCAGAGAAAGCAAAAAGAGAACAUAACGCACUUUACAUCCUGAAAGGUUAAAAUCAUGACUUGAAAUGUCAAGAUGUGUCAGUAGGCAAAGGACCUAAAUUCAGUUCCACAAAUAAACAGAUAGUUUUAGUGUAAGAGAUUAGCAUUUAGCAACCUUGUUUCUGUGACAAGACACAUCAUUUAGCUGGUAAAUUUCCCCUUACAACUUGUCCAAGGGAAAAGAUACUUUCCCGAGAUUUUAGUAUCAGCAUGAGGAAAAUGAGACCGGAACUUGGAGCAUGGCAAUUUUCUGAAAUAAAUGAAAGGAUCCUUAGCUGCAGAGAAUGACAAUCACUAUGUAUUAUGAAAAUUAUAUAAAGGUUCAAUUGCCUGUUAAUAAAAAACACAAGGGAAAAUUUGCAAAGCACAGAGCUUUCCUGAUUUUGAUGACACGAACGGGUGUAUGUGACGGUUCCCAGGUAAUACUCAAAACAUUUCAACUGAAUCAGACACUAGCAAGCACAACAUUUGAAAUAUGUAAGAUGAAGGAGAAGAGAAAUUGACUCAAAUAACAAAAGAUAAUGAGAAGUGCACAUCAUCAUAGAUUCAUAUUGCAAAACAAAGGACUGGAGAAGAUAUUAUAGGCUUCCCCAGCACAUGUAACUUAAAGGACAUAAAUGAAAGAAAAGGGCCAACACCUUAAAGAUACAAAUAGGCUUCACAACAACAUAGGUAAAGUUCCAACAUUUGAGAGACCACA
Nicotiana attenuata is the source of this 3588-nucleotide long non-coding RNA. RefSeq lists it as uncharacterized. The transcript is spliced from 2 exons. The record is from RefSeq and is a predicted model, not a curated record. NCBI's taxonomy places the organism in Eukaryota, Viridiplantae, Streptophyta, Magnoliopsida, Solanales, Solanaceae.